This 253-nucleotide ribosomal RNA is filed under the name uncultured bacterium. Its description in RNAcentral is "partial 16S ribosomal RNA". It matches the Rfam family "Bacterial small subunit ribosomal RNA", at positions 524 to 776 of the family's 1533-position model. The record is from RNAcentral.
UACGGGGGGGGCAAGCGUUGUUCGGAAUUACUGGGCGUAAAGGGCGCGUAGGCGGCCUGCUAAGUCACACGUGAAAUCCCUCGGCUCAACCGGGGAACUGCGUGUGAUACUGGCAGGCUUGAAUUCGGGAGAGGGAUGUGGAAUUCCAGGUGUAGCGGUGAAAUGCGUAGAUAUCUGGAGGAACACCGGUGGCGAAGGCGGCAUCCUGGACCGAGAUUGACGCUGAGGCGCGAAAGCUAGGGUAGCAAACGGG